CUACGUGCCAGCAGCCGCGGUAAUACGGAAGGUCCAGGCGUUAUCCGGAUUUAUUGGGUUUAAAGGGAGCGUAGGCCGUGGAUUAAGCGUGUUGUGAAAUGUAGACGCUCAACGUCUGAAUUGCAGCGCGAACUGGUUCACUUGAGUAUGCACAACGUAGGCGGAAUUCGUCGUGUAGCGGUGAAAUGCUUAGAUAUGACGAAGAACUCCGAUUGCGAAGGCAGCUUACGGGAGCACAACUGACGCUGAAGCUCGAAGGUGCGGGUAUCAAACAGGAUUAGAUACCCUGGUAGUCCGCACAGUAAACGAUGGAUGCCCGUUGUUAGUUCACUUAAGAAUUAGCGACCAAGCGAAAGCAUUAAGCAUCCCACCUGGGGAGUACGCCGGCAACGGUGAAACUCAAAGGAAUUGACGGGGGCCCGCACAAGCGGAGGAACAUGUGGUUUAAUUCGAUGAUACGCGAGGAACCUUACCCGGGCUUGAAUUGCAGACGAACGAUUCAGAGAUGAUGAGG
This 514-nucleotide ribosomal RNA is filed under the name uncultured bacterium. Its description in RNAcentral is "bacterial SSU rRNA". It matches the Rfam family "Bacterial small subunit ribosomal RNA", at positions 501 to 1014 of the family's 1533-position model. The record is from RNAcentral.